Molecule: ribosomal RNA, 404 nt
Filed under: uncultured soil bacterium
Lineage: Bacteria
Description: bacterial SSU rRNA
Rfam family: Bacterial small subunit ribosomal RNA
Source: RNAcentral
AGAUUGAACGCUGGCGGCAGGCCUAACACAUGCAAGUCGAGCGGUAGAGAGGUGCUUGCAUCUCUUGAGAGCGGCGGACGGGUGAGUAAUGCCUAGGAAUCUGCCUAGUGGGUGGGGGAUAACGUUCGGAAACGGCGCUAAUACCGCAUACGUCCUACGGGAGAAAGCGGGGGACCUUCGGGCCUCGCGCCAUUAGAUGAGCCUAGGUCGGAUUAGCUAGUUGGUGGGGUAAUGGCUCACCAAGGCGACGAUCCGUAACUGGUCUGAGAGGACGACCAGCCACACUGGAACUGAGACACGGUCCAGACUCCUACGGGAGGCAGCAGUGGGAAUUUGGACAAUGGGCGCAAGCCUGAUCCAGCAAUGCGCGUGAGUGAAGAGGCUUCGGUGUAAGCUUCUUUGUC